UAGAGUUUUAGAGUUUGUCAGUGGCUCAGAUUGCGGCGUGGCGGCUACAUGCAAGUAGACAAAAUGAGGAGGUGCUUGCACAUCUUGGUUAGGGGCGGAGGGGUGAGUAACGGGGGGGCAACUCGCGGGUAAGACUGGGAUGAGGUGGGGAAACCGGAGCUAAUGCCGCUUAAUCCUUUUCAUGUCACGAGGAAAAAGUGAAAGUCGGUCUGCCCUCACGCUUUCAGAUGUGCCCGCAUCGCAUUAGCUAGUUGGUGAUAGACGGCUCACCAUAGGCGACGAUCCCUAGCUGGUCUGAGAGGAUGACCAGCCACACUGGAACUGAGACACGGUCCAGACUCCUACGGGAGGCAGCAGUGGGGAAUAUUGCACAAUGGGCGCAAGCCUGAUGCAGCCUUGCCGCGUGUGUGAAGAAGGCCUUCGGGUUGUUAAGCACUUUCAGCGUGUAGGAAGGCGGUAAAGUUAAUAACCUUGUCGAUUGACGUUACCCGCAGAAGAAGCACCGGCUAACUCCGUGCCACCACCCGCCGUAAUACGGAGGGUGCAAGCGUUAAUCGGAAUUACUGGGCGUAAAGCGCACGCAAGCGGUCUGUCGAGUCCGAUGUGAAAUCCCCGGGCUCAACCUGGGUACUGCAUUCAAAACUGGUAGGCUAUAGUCUUGUAGAGGGCGGUAGAAUUCCACGUGUAUCGGUGAAAUGCGUAGAGAUCUGGAGGAAUACCGAUGACGAACGCGGCCCACUGGACAUAUACUGACUCUCACUGGCGAUAGCGUGCGGAGCCAACAGGAUUAGAUACCCUGGUAGUCCACGCCGUAAACGAUGAGUGCUAAGUGUUAGGGGGUUUCCGCCCCUUAGUGCUGCAGCUAACGCAUUAAGCACUCCGCCUGGGGAGUACGGUCGCAAGACUGAAACUCAAAGGAAUUGACGGGGGCCCGCACAAGCGGUGGAGCAUGUGGUUUAAUUCGAAGCAACGCGAAGAACCUUACCAGGUCUUGACAUCCUCUGACAAUCCUAGAGAUAGGACGUCCCCUUCGGGGGCAGAGUGACAGGUGGUGCAUGGUUGUCGUCAGCUCGUGUCGUGAGAUGUUGGGUUAAGUCCCGCAACGAGCGCAACCCUUGAUCUUAGUUGCCAGCAUUCAGUUGGGCACUCUAAGGUGACUGCCGGUGACAAACCGGAGGAAGGUGGGGAUGACGUCAAAUCAUCAUGCCCCUUAUGACCUGGGCUACACACGUGCUACAAUGGACAGAACAAAGGGCAGCGAAACCGCGAGGUUAAGCCAAUCUCACAAAUCUGUUCUCAGUUCGGAUCGCAGUCUGCAACUCGACUGCGUGAAGCUGGAAUCGCUAGUAAUCGCGGAUCAGCAUGCCGCGGUGAAUACGUUCCCGGGCCUUGUACACACCGCCCGUCACACCACGAGAGUGUGUAACACCCGAAGUCGGUGAGGUAACCUUUUAGGAGCCAGCCGCCGCAUGUGGGACAGAUGAUUGGG
This 1489-nucleotide ribosomal RNA is filed under the name Sporolactobacillus dextrus. RNAcentral describes it as "partial 16S ribosomal RNA". It matches the Rfam family "Bacterial small subunit ribosomal RNA". The record is from RNAcentral. Lineage: Bacteria; Bacillati; Bacillota; Bacilli; Caryophanales; Sporolactobacillaceae.